CCCCACACAUAGUUAAGGAGGUCCAUAUAAUCCUACAUUCUUUUUUAAACUUAAAAAAAAUUGUAACUUAUAGAAGAGGUAUAGGACACUGCUUAAAAAUGUAUAACUUCGUGAUAAAUGAUUUAAAAUGUGAACACUCUUGUAACUACACCUGGGUUAAAAAAGAGAACUUUGCAGGUCACCCUGGACGCCCUCCUCAAGCUCCUUCCACAGCCCCUUCCACAUCCUAAAAAGUAACCAUUAUUCUGGCUUGUAUGGUAAUCAUUUCUGAGCUUUUCUUUACAGUUUUUAUCAUCCAAAUGGGUGUCCCUAAUCACUAAACUAAAGUUUAACUUUGUCUGUUUUCAAAAAUGUUUAUAUAUGUCUUUUAAACCAUGUGAGGGAUUUAAAAGCUCCUUGAGACAAAUUUCACAUGAACCCACAGAGAAGAGCAAAACACUGGCGGACAGACCUACACGUGGUGCUGAUGUGGUUUCACAGCAAGACCAGGUGACGCUGGGAGUGUGGCAUCAAGGCAGGAUCUGGGGCAGGGGCAGGGGGGUCUCCCACCACGCAGGGGUGGGGCGCGGGGAGCCGCUCCACUCCUUUUCACCUGCAGCCCCCCAGUCGCCCCCCAUCAGUCAUCAGUGUGCCACUGAAAGAAGAGAAAAGGCACUGGUGAAGCGUCCCGCUCUCCCCUGGAAGGACAGGGCAGAAAGAGGCCCCCAGGAGCCCACGAAGGCCUUUAUGAUGGGCUCGAAAGGAACCAGUGCACCUCUGUCGCAUGAUAACACUUGGGUCUUCUCAGUGUGUCUCAGUCCUUGAAUUAACGAGCACGGGAACUGUAUGGGAGAGAGGGAGACUUAGAAAGUGCCAACACUCAUACCCAACCAGUCACCUUUCCUGCUCAAGCAAAGAUUCGGAAACCCAAGGGAAGACGAGAGAAAAUUAGACAAAAUACAAGAAAAAGCCAGCUGAGCUGUUGCGGUGGGGCUGAGAGCUCUGAGAAAAGUUCAGGGAAAUGGAAGUGAGAAGGGGAUUUGCAAAAGGGCAGUGAAGACCGGGUUCCACUCUUUUGGCUGAGCCUGCUAAGUUUCGACGUUCAUUUUCUUUCCUUUAAAAAAACGUUGCGGGCUGCAGCUGAGCUACAUGGCACCGAAAUGGAGCGGCUGCAAGCGAGAGCGAAAAAGGAAAGCCCGAGUCCGAUCCCAGACUUGUAUUCUCUCUGGGUGGGCAGAAGGUUUUAUUAUUUUUUUUAUUUCAUACAUCAUUAAAAUGCUUCAGUAUUUCCCCCAAGUCAGCAUGCUUUUAAAAAGUUUAAUGAGGAAGGAAAAUACUACAGAAAAGUAAAAUUCUGAUUAUUUGUAGCAAGGUGCUAUGGAAAGCAGAGGCCUGGCUUUCCUCCCUCAAUCCCUUUUCUGGAGGUGUGGUUCCUUCUAGAAACUUCUUUUUCCCCAGGCGUGAGACCUUUCCAGCAUACAAUUAAAAGUCAGAGAAGGCCCGUGAUUCGGAGAGCGUAUCCUUUCUGUGGCCUUGGGCCAGGUGCUUUGCUUCUGGGUGCCUCAGUUUCCCCCUCUGUCAAAUGGGAUAAUAAUACUUAAUUACUUCACCAUGCUGAGGUAAGGAUUAAUUAGUUGGUGCUUUGAAGCCAGAAAAUGCUACAACAGAGCUAAGCAUUAUUAUUAAUAAUACAUUUCAACUGAGUUGAUAAUUGCAUUUGCUGUCUCAAAUUUCCCUGGUGGUUUCAGCGGCUGAACUUAUAUUUCAGCUUCACUGGUUAAAAAAAAAAAGGAGUCCUACUGGUAGAAAUUAGCUCUGGUCUUCAUUGCGAAGAUGGACACUUAUGUGCCGUGGGUGAAAGGAUAUCUGUUCUAUAGAAACUGAAGAGGAGAUUCUGGAAAAAUCCCAAACGCCACAGAAAGUGCCAGGACAGCUAAGCAGCUUUAAAAAUGAAGAAAAUGCUAGUCAAAAAUGUGCCAGAUGAGAAGCAAGCAGGUCUAGGAGGUUACCACGUUCCAGAAUUGAUUCAAUUCCUAUGCUUUGGACCUAACCACAAAGUCAUUUAUCUGUUGUCUGCUGUGGGUUGUUUUUUCUCUUCAGUCCCUCUUUCUGGUCUCCACCCCUUCCUGUGCUAGGUCACUUCAGGGUGUGUUGGUGUGUGUGUGUGUUUAAAAUCUCUUCUUUGAUCCCUGUCUGUCUCCUCCUUUCCUUUAGGUCAACUCAAAGAAGCAUUUUUGCAUCAUUUAACUCCAACCCAUCCAAAUGAGAUGAAAAUGUCAGUGAGGCGAUGUCACUGCAGAGCCCCUGGUAUGUGGCAGAUGUUCAAGAAAUAUUUGUUCAGUGGAGCCAGGUCUUUGAGACUUCCUGAGGUCCUGCUGUUGAACAUCUAGUAAAGUGAUGUCAUAAAUGAAGGGGCCGUGGUGUGCAGCUUCCCCAAGAGUUGAAGCUCCGAACCAGCCUUCGGACAAGAACAGACGAUUUGCCCUCAUCAGCUCUUUUCCUCUGCUGCUGGGAGGAUGUCAUAGGAAUUGGUGAAACUGGAAACACAGGCCGUGUGUUCUGCUCUUGGUUGUACAACUGGGCUUGGGGAUGAGGAUGGGGAACGCAGAGUGAGAGGGACCAGAUGUCUCAGCAUAAAAAGAUUCAUCGUGCUAAAAGUGAUGUCUCAUCUGAUGUCUCAAAGCACUAGUGAAUGGAUCACACAUUUCCAGUCUGCAGCAUAUUUUGUCUCUCCAGUGAAAGCAAGACAAGAGGGGGGCGGCCCUGUGGCGUAGUGGUUAAGUUCACAGGCUCCGCUUCCGUGACCCAGUGUUCGCUGGUUGGAAUCCUGGGCAUGGAGCUACACAGCUCUCAUCAGGCCAAGCUGUGGCGGCAUCCCACAGAAGAACUGGAAUGGCUUGCAACUAGG
Equus caballus (horse) is the source of this 2887-nucleotide long non-coding RNA. Lineage: Eukaryota; Metazoa; Chordata; Mammalia; Perissodactyla; Equidae. The record is from Ensembl.